GGCUGGUCCAGGUGCAGUGGUGUUUACAGCUAAUUGAUCACAGCCAGUUACAGAUUUCUUUGUUCCUUCUCCAUUCCCAUUGCUUCACUUGAGUAGCCUAAA
Cercocebus atys (sooty mangabey) is the source of this 102-nucleotide unclassified non-coding RNA. It matches the Rfam family "Y RNA". From Rfam's summary of the family: Y RNAs are components of the Ro ribonucleoprotein particle (Ro RNP), in association with Ro60 and La proteins. NCBI's taxonomy places the organism in Eukaryota, Metazoa, Chordata, Mammalia, Primates, Cercopithecidae. The record is from Ensembl.